GGUUAAGCGACUAAGCGUACACGGUGGAUGCCCUGGCAGUCAGAGGCGAUGAAGGACGUGCUAAUCUGCGAAAAGCGUCGGUAAGGUGAUAUGAACCGUUAUAACCGGCGAUGUCCGAAUGGGGAAACCCAGUGUGAUUCGUCACACUAUCGUUAACUGAAUACAUAGGUUAACGAGGCGAACCGGGGGAACUGAAACAUCUAAGUACCCCGAGGAAAAGAAAUCAACCGAGAUUCCCCCAGUAGCGGCGAGCGAACGGGGAGCAGCCCAGAGUCUGAAUCAGCUUGUGUGUUAGUGGAACGGUCUGGAAAGUCCGACGGUACAGGGUGAUAGUCCCGUACACCAAAAUGCACAGGCUGUGAACUCGAAGAGUAGGGCGGGACACGUGGUAUCCUGUCUGAAUAUGGGGGGACCAUCCUCCAAGGCUAAAUACUCCUGACUGACCGAUAGUGAACCAGUACCGUGAGGGAAAGGCGAAAAGAACCCCGGCGAGGGGAGUGAAAAAGAACCUGAAACCGUGUACGUACAAGCAGUGGGAGCACCUUCGGGUGUGACUGCGUACCUUUUGUAUAAUGGGUCAGCGACUUAUAUUCUGUAGCAAGGUUAACCGUAUAGGGGAGCCGCAGGGAAACCGAGUCUUAACUGGGCGUUAAGUUGCAGGGUAUAGACCCGAAACCCGGUGAUCUAGCCAUGGGCAGGUUGAAGGUUGGGUAACACUAACUGGAGGACCGAACCGACUAAUGUUGAAAAAUUAGCGGAUGACUUGUGGCUGGGGGUGAAAGGCCAAUCAAACCGGGAGAUAGCUGGUUCUCCCCGAAAGCUAUUUAGGUAGCGCCUCGUGAACUCAUCUUCGGGGGUAGAGCACUGUUUCGGCUAGGGGGUCAUCCCGACUUACCAACCCGAUGCAAACUACGAAUACCGAAGAAUGUUAUCACGGGAGACACACGGCGGGUGCUAACGUCCGUCGUGAAGAGGGAAACAACCCAGACCGCCAGCUAAGGUCCCAAAGUCAUGGUUAAGUGGGAAACGAUGUGGGAAGGCCCAGACAGCCAGGAUGUUGGCUUAGAAGCAGCCAUCAUUUAAAGAAAGCGUAAUAGCUCACUGGUCGAGUCGGCCUGCGCGGAAGAUGUAACGGGGCUAAACCAUGCACCGAAGCUGCGGCAGCGACACUAUGUGUUGUUGGGUAGGGGAGCGUUCUGUAAGCCUGCGAAGGUGUGCUGUGAGGCAUGCUGGAGGUAUCAGAAGUGCGAAUGCUGACAUAAGUAACGAUAAAGCGGGUGAAAAGCCCGCUCGCCGGAAGACCAAGGGUUCCUGUCCAACGUUAAUCGGGGCAGGGUGAGUCGACCCCUAAGGCGAGGCCGAAAGGCGUAGUCGAUGGGAAACAGGUUAAUAUUCCUGUACUUGGUGUUACUGCGAAGGGGGGACGGAGAAGGCUAUGUUAGCCGGGCGACGGUUGUCCCGGUUUAAGCAUGUAGGCUGAUUGUCCAGGCAAAUCCGGAUAAUCAAGGCUGAGGUGUGAUGACGAGGCACUACGGUGCUGAAGUAACAAAUGCCCUGCUUCCAGGAAAAGCCUCUAAGCAUCAGGUAACAUCAAAUCGUACCCCAAACCGACACAGGUGGUCAGGUAGAGAAUACCAAGGCGCUUGAGAGAACUCGGGUGAAGGAACUAGGCAAAAUGGUGCCGUAACUUCGGGAGAAGGCACGCUGAUAUGUAGGUGAAGCGACUUGCUCGUGGAGCUGAAAUCAGUCGAAGAUACCAGCUGGCUGCAACUGUUUAUUAAAAACACAGCACUGUGCAAACACGAAAGUGGACGUAUACGGUGUGACGCCUGCCCGGUGCCGGAAGGUUAAUUGAUGGGGUUAUCCGUAAGGAGAAGCUCUUGAUCGAAGCCCCGGUAAACGGCGGCCGUAACUAUAACGGUCCUAAGGUAGCGAAAUUCCUUGUCGGGUAAGUUCCGACCUGCACGAAUGGCGUAAUGAUGGCCAGGCUGUCUCCACCCGAGACUCAGUGAAAUUGAACUCGCUGUGAAGAUGCAGUGUACCCGCGGCAAGACGGAAAGACCCCGUGAACCUUUACUAUAGCUUGACACUGAACAUUGAGCCUUGAUGUGUAGGAUAGGUGGGAGGCUUUGAAGCGUGGACGCCAGUCUGCGUGGAGCCAACCUUGAAAUACCACCCUUUAAUGUUUGAUGUUCUAACGUUGGCCCCUGACCGGGGUUGCGGACAGUGUCUGGUGGGUAGUUUGACUGGGGCGGUCUCCUCCCAAAGCGUAACGGAGGAGCACGAAGGUUAGCUAAUCCUGGUCGGACAUCAGGAGGUUAGUGCAAUGGCAUAAGCUAGCUUGACUGCGAGCGUGACGGCGCGAGCAGGUGCGAAAGCAGGUCAUAGUGAUCCGGUGGUUCUGAAUGGAAGGGCCAUCGCUCAACGGAUAAAAGGUACUCCGGGGAUAACAGGCUGAUACCGCCCAAGAGUUCAUAUCGACGGCGGUGUUUGGCACCUCGAUGUCGGCUCAUCACAUCCUGGGGCUGAAGUAGGUCCCAAGGGUAUGGCUGUUCGCCAUUUAAAGUGGUACGCGAGCUGGGUUUAGAACGUCGUGAGACAGUUCGGUCCCUAUCUGCCGUGGGCGCUGGAGAAUUGAGGGGGGCUGCUCCUAGUACGAGAGGACCGGAGUGGACGCAUCACUGGUGUUCGGGUUGUCAUGCCAAUGGCACUGCCCGGUAGCUAAAUGCGGAAGAGAUAAGUGCUGAAAGCAUCUAAGCACGAAACUUGCCCCGAGAUGAGUUCUCCCUGAGACUUUAAGUCUCCUGAAGGAACGUUAAAGACGAUGACGUUGAUAGGCCGGGUGUGUAAGCGCAGCGAUGCGUUGAGCUAACCGGUACUAAUGAACCGUGAGGCUUAACCUU
This 2903-nucleotide ribosomal RNA is filed under the name Klebsiella pneumoniae. RNAcentral describes it as "23S ribosomal RNA". It matches the Rfam family "Bacterial large subunit ribosomal RNA". The record is from RNAcentral. Lineage: Bacteria; Pseudomonadati; Pseudomonadota; Gammaproteobacteria; Enterobacterales; Enterobacteriaceae.